UAAAUAACAAUGCAGGGCCCUCUGGGUCUUGCAAUUGGAAUGAGAACAAUUUAAAUCCCUUAUCGAGUAACAAUUGGAGGGCAAGUCUGGUGCCAGCAGCCGCGGUAAUUCCAGCUCCAAUAGCGUAUAUUAAAGUUGUUGCAGUUAAAAAGCUCGUAGUUGAACCUUGGGUGCGUGGCUGGGGGUUGCUCGCAAGAGCAGACUCCUAUGCCCGUGCCUCUAUUGGGGACUAGCUCUUUGGGCUAGGCAACCAGUGUUACUGUGAAGAAAUUAGAGUGUUUAAAGCAGGCUAUCGCUUGAAUACAUCAGCAUGGAAUAACAAGUAGGACGGCAGUCUGCUUGUUGGUUGGUAUACUACCGUAAUGAUUAAUAGGGCCAGUUGGGGGCAUUAGUAUUCAGUAGUCAGAGGUGAAAUUCUUGGAUUUACUGAAGACUAACUAGUGCGAAAGCAUUUGCCAAGGAUGUUUUCAUUAAUCAAGAACGAAAGUUAGGGGAUCGAAGACGAUCAGAUACCGUCGUAGUCUUAACUAUAAACGAUGCCGACUAAGGAUCGGCAGAAGUCGUUUUCGACUCUGUCGGCACUUUGUGAGAAAUCAAAGUUUUUGGGUUCUGGGGGAGUAUGGUCGCAAGGCUGAAACUUAAAGGAAUUGACGGAAGGGCACCACCAGGAGUGGAGCCUGCGGCUUAAUUUGACUCAACACGGGAAAACUCACCAGGUCCGGACAUAGUAAGGAUUGACAGAUUGAGAGCUCUUUCUUGAUUCUGUGGGUGGUGGUGCAUGGCCGUUCUUAGUUGGUGGAGUGAUUUGUCUGGUUAAUUCCGAUAACGAACGAGACCUUAACCUGCUAACUAGUUGCUGCUACUUUUGUAGGAGCACACUUCUUAGAGGGACUGACUACGCUUAGUAGUCGGAAGUUUGAGGCAAUAACAGGUCUGUGAUGCCCUUAGAUGUUCUGGGCUGCACGCGCGCUACACUGACAAAGCCAGCGAGUAUACCUUGGCCGAGAGGUCUGGGAAAUCUUGUAAAACUUUGUCGUGCUGGGGAUAGAUCAUUGCAAUUAUUGGUCUUGAACGAGGAAUUCCUAGUAAGCGCAAGUCAUCAGCUUGCGUUGAUUACGUCCCUGCCCUUUGUACACACCGCCCGUCGCUACUACCGAUUGAAUGGCUUAGUGAGGC
RNAcentral lists this ribosomal RNA (1176 nucleotides) under uncultured Rozellomycota. RNAcentral describes it as "SSU rRNA". It matches the Rfam family "Eukaryotic small subunit ribosomal RNA", at positions 474 to 1707 of the family's 1831-position model. The record is from RNAcentral. Lineage: Eukaryota; Fungi; Rozellomycota.